Molecule: ribosomal RNA, 375 nt
Filed under: uncultured bacterium
Lineage: Bacteria
Description: bacterial SSU rRNA
Rfam family: Bacterial small subunit ribosomal RNA
Source: RNAcentral
ACAGAGGGGGCAAGCGUUGUCCGGACUUACUGGGCGUAAAGGGUCCGCAGGUGGCGCGGCAAGUGUGAUGUGAAAGCCCCGCGCUUCACGCGGGGAGGCCAUUACCGACUGCCGGGCUGGAGGGCUGCAGAGGGUCGUGGAAUUGCCGGUGUAGUGGUGAAAUGCGUAGAGAUCGGCAGGAACACCAAGGACGAAGGUAGCGACCUGGGCAGCACCUGACACUGAGGGACGACAGCGUGGGGAGCGAACCGGAUUAGAUACCCGGGUAGUCCACGCCGUAAACGAUGGAUGCUCGGCGUGUGGCGGCUAUCAACGCCGCUGGGCGCCUCAGCUGACGCGGAAGCAUCCCGCCUGGGAACUACGAGCGCAAGCUUA